CGUUGAUAGGGCAGGUGUGUAAGUGCUGUGAGGCAUUGAGCUAACUGAUACUAAUUGCCCGUGAGGCUUAACCAUACAACACCCAAGGGGUUU
This 93-nucleotide ribosomal RNA is filed under the name Vibrio parahaemolyticus. RNAcentral describes it as "partial 23S ribosomal RNA". Lineage: Bacteria; Pseudomonadati; Pseudomonadota; Gammaproteobacteria; Vibrionales; Vibrionaceae. The record is from RNAcentral.